This is a long non-coding RNA of Helianthus annuus (common sunflower), 440 nucleotides long. RefSeq lists it as uncharacterized. The transcript has 3 exons. The record is from RefSeq and is a predicted model, not a curated record. NCBI's taxonomy places the organism in Eukaryota, Viridiplantae, Streptophyta, Magnoliopsida, Asterales, Asteraceae.
CCAGAAGAGGGCAAGGGAAGAACAAACCCUAAACAACACAAAUCAAUCAAAUUGAAAGGGGAUUUGAGGACUAAAUGUAUGCAUGAACCAAGAAUGUUGGUCCCUUAAGUGUUUCUAACAUCAAGCUCGAAGAAAGAAGAAGGAGCAAGUCACUCGAAAUCACAAGCAACUCAAGAUCGCGGUAAAUCUCAUGCUUGAUUGCGGCGCAUUCGGAGCGAACACACAAUUGUCGACCUUUACACGCUUCCGGUUCAUGUUGUUGAUCAUGAAUGGGUCAAAAACUUCGUUUUGUCAUAUGAUGUUAAAUUGUGUCUAGUAUGUUAGUAAGUAGCUAGAACUUCUAAAUCUUUUGGUAUAUUUUGUACAAAAUUGUUCAUGGUGAACCUUAUGGUCACAACCUUGUGGUUUUGAAAAGUGUCGUAGAAUAUAAUUAAAAUGAU